CCCUCUUGCUCACCCUUGACUUGGAAAAACCAGUUUCUCUUUUAUUAGGCGGGGUUUCACCAUGUUGCCCAGACUGGUCUUGAACUCCUGAGCUUAAGCAAUCCACCUGCCUCGGCCUCCCAAAGUGUUGGGAUCACAGGCGUGAGCCACCGCAUCCGGCCUCAUGUUCUUUUUCAUUAAAGAGAGAAAUCAACUAUUCAGGACCGGCCCCCACCUUUCCUCAGGAGUCAUUUCUGUUCUGCACAGGCCUGCUGAACUGGGUGCUUUAUAUAGGAUUUCAGUGGAGUGAAGUUCAGGAGGCAUGGAGCUGACAACCAUGAGGCCUCGGCAGCCACCGCCACCACCGCCGCCGCCACCACCGUAGCAGCAGCAGCAGCAGCAGCAAGAGUAACUCUGACUUAGGAAUAGAGACAGCCAGAGAGAAAUGUGAUCAAUGA
This 437-nucleotide long non-coding RNA is filed under the name Pan troglodytes (chimpanzee). Its description in RNAcentral is "lincRNA". Lineage: Eukaryota; Metazoa; Chordata; Mammalia; Primates; Hominidae. The record is from RNAcentral.